Molecule: ribosomal RNA, 477 nt
Filed under: Bifidobacterium pseudocatenulatum
Lineage: Bacteria; Bacillati; Actinomycetota; Actinomycetes; Bifidobacteriales; Bifidobacteriaceae
Description: bacterial SSU rRNA
Rfam family: Bacterial small subunit ribosomal RNA
Source: RNAcentral
CGCUGGCGGCGUGCUUAACACAUGCAAGUCGAACGGGAUCCAUCAGGCUUUGCUUGGUGGUGAGAGUGGCGAACGGGUGAGUAAUGCGUGACCGACCUGCCCCAUACACCGGAAUAGCUCCUGGAAACGGGUGGUAAUGCCGGAUGCUCCGACUCCUCGCAUGGGGUGUCGGGAAAGAUUUCAUCGGUAUGGGAUGGGGUCGCGUCCUAUCAGGUAGUCGGCGGGGUAACGGCCCACCGAGCCUACGACGGGUAGCCGGCCUGAGAGGGCGACCGGCCACAUUGGGACUGAGAUACGGCCCAGACUCCUACGGGAGGCAGCAGUGGGGAAUAUUGCACAAUGGGCGCAAGCCUGAUGCAGCGACGCCGCGUGCGGGAUGACGGCCUUCGGGUUGUAAACCGCUUUUGAUCGGGAGCAAGCCUUCGGGUGAGUGUACCUUUCGAAUAACACCGGCUAACUACGUGCCAGCAGCCGCGG